UGGGGAAUAUUGGACAAUGGGCGCAAGCCUGAUCCAGCCAUGCCGCGUGAGUGACGAAGGCCUUAGGGUUGUAAAGCUCUUUUUGGCGGGGACGAUAAUGACGGUACCCGCAGAAUAAGCCCCGGCUAACUUCGUGCCAGCAGCCGCGGUAAUACGAAGGGGGCUAGCGUUGUUCGGAAUUACUGGGCGUAAAGCGCACGUAGGCGGAUGUGCCAGUCAGGGGUGAAAUCCCGAGGCUCAACCUCGGAACUGCCUCCGAUACAGCACGUCUCGAGUCCGGAAGAGGUGAGUGGAAUUCCUAGUGUAGAGGUGAAAUUCGUAGAUAUUAGGAAGAACACCAGUGGCGAAGGCGGCUCACUGGUCCGGUACUGACGCUGAGGUGCGAAAGCGUGGGGAGCAAACAGGAUUAGAUACCCAGGUAGUCCCUGAGCGGGCUGGCAAGGCGCAU
Molecule: ribosomal RNA, 448 nt
Filed under: uncultured bacterium
Lineage: Bacteria
Description: bacterial SSU rRNA
Rfam family: Bacterial small subunit ribosomal RNA
Source: RNAcentral